AUUGAACGCUGGCGGCAGGCCUAACACAUGCAAGUCGAACGAGUGGCGGACGUGUGAGUAAUGUCUGGGAAACUGCCUGAUGGAGGGGGAUAACUACUGGAAACGGUAGCUAAUCCCGCCUACCAUCAGAUGUGCCCAGAUGGGAUUAGCUUGUUGGUGGGGUAACGGCUCACCAAGGCGACGAUCCCUAGCUGGUCUGAUAGGAUGACCACCCACACUGGAACUGAGACACGGUCCAGACUCCUACGGGAGGCAGCAGUGGGGAAGAUUGGACAAUGGGCGAAAGCCUGAUCCAGCCAUGCCGCGUGUGUGAAGAAGGUCUUCGGAUUGUAAAGCACUUUAAGUUGGGAGGCGUUACCAAAAGAAUAAGCACCGGCUAACUUCGUGCCAGCAGCCGCGGUAAUAC
This 406-nucleotide ribosomal RNA is filed under the name uncultured bacterium. Its description in RNAcentral is "partial 16S ribosomal RNA". It matches the Rfam family "Bacterial small subunit ribosomal RNA", at positions 30 to 526 of the family's 1533-position model. The record is from RNAcentral.